Molecule: ribosomal RNA, 400 nt
Filed under: uncultured bacterium
Lineage: Bacteria
Description: bacterial SSU rRNA
Rfam family: Bacterial small subunit ribosomal RNA
Source: RNAcentral
GGAAUAUUGCGCAAUGGAGGAAACUCUGACGCAGUGACGCCGCGUAUAGGAAGAAGGUUUUAGGAUUGUAAACUAUUUUAGACAGGGAAGAAAAAAGACGGUACCUGUAGAAUAAGCUCCGGCUAACUACGUGCCAGCAGCCGCGGUAAUACGUAGGGAGCAAGCGUUAUCCGGAUUUAUUGGGUGUAAAGGGUGCGUAGACGGGAAAGCAAGUUGGUUGUGAAAUCCCUCGGCUUAACUGAGGAACUGCAACCAAAACUACAUUUCUUGAGUGCGGGAGAGGAAAGCGGAAUUCCUAGUGUAGCGGUGAAAUGCGUAGAUAUUAGGAGGAACACCAGUGGCGAAGGCGGCUUUCUGGACCGUAACUGACGUUGAAGCACGAAAGUGUGGGGAGCAAACA